UCCAAUAUGGACGCCGACUUAUAUGGA
RNAcentral lists this small RNA (27 nucleotides) under Bombyx mori (domestic silkworm). RNAcentral describes it as "ovarian small RNA-26575". The record is from RNAcentral. Lineage: Eukaryota; Metazoa; Arthropoda; Insecta; Lepidoptera; Bombycidae.